RNAcentral lists this ribozyme (72 nucleotides) under unclassified sequences. Its description in RNAcentral is "HDV ribozyme from F. prausnitzii". It matches the Rfam family "HDV ribozyme from F. prausnitzii". The record is from RNAcentral.
AUCGCGCAAAAAUGCUGCCUCCACGCGGCGCGCGAUGGGCAACGAAUAUAAAUUAUUCGGCCAAAUGCAUCA